GAUUUUAAAAGUGCGAUCGGAAUCUUCGGAACAAGAAUCAUUUGAUACGGCAGUUGUUAUAACUUCUAGAAAGGGUAAAGAGAUGCUUCUCUUCCGUAGCUACACGUACCGUAAACAAUAUGAGAAACGAAAGAAAUGCAGAUGGGUUUGUUCAACUUUAAAGAAUUGUCGCGCUUACGUCUUUACAGACUCCAAUAAUGUUAUUACAUCAACUUUUGAAGAACACGAACAUGAUCCCCCGAAAUAUUAUCUCAACCCUAAUCAUUUGCUCGGAGCACUAAGAGAACCACUCGUUUUAGAAUCUGAUUAAGAUCAAAUUUAGUUUUAUUUCAAAGUUAGGUUUUAUGUUUGGUGAAGAUUUUGAUCAAGCGUAUUACUAUGUCUAUUCGUGUUAAGUGAUAUACUCGUAAUGAGUGUUGACCACCAGGCUGUGUUCAAAUUGACCAGUCCUUCCCUUCGAAAGGCGUUCUAAUUUACUACGAUUUAUAUAGAAAUGGGGAAAGAGGCCUAUGCCCAGUAGUGGGAUAUUACAGGCUGAAGCGUAGUAUAUAGACAUGGGGCGUGGCUACACUAAGUGACAGUGGUCAAUAUUUUCUUAAUGGGAAUAGACUAUGUACAAGUUUAUAUACUACGUGUCUAAUGUAUGUGCACGAUUGUCUAAUUUUAUAAUUUAUUGCGACACAUAAGUUUCGCAAUGUUUAGUUUUUAAUAAGUCACAAAUAUUGUCAGAUAGUUGUGUAGCAGUAUCUGUUUUAGUGUCAGUUAAACUUGAUCGUGUCAGAUUUUGGUAAUGAUUUUUUUUUAAGUUUAUGUCAUCAGUUUAUUUGGUAAGAAUUUAACAAAUGAGUUUGUUUAUCUAAGAAACUAUCUAAACCAAUAUUUUUUUUGUGAUUGAAAUUUACUCCUUAGGGGUCGUCCAUAAAGUACGUCACGCAAGAUUUUCACGAUCCCUCGCUCCUUUGUCACGCUAAGUCACACUUUCAUUUACCGCCUAACAAACAUAACGUUACAAAACAUAGGUAACCGUCAAUGACUUCACGAUUAAAAAAGGUAUACAGAUAAAUAUUUUGUUUUUUUUUUCAUCUUUGAAGAUAUGUAAUAAAAUCACCUUGUCAAAUCUCGUCACGCUAAUCAAAGACCCCUCUUCCUCCUAUUUGCGAACGUCUUUUAUGGAUAACAACCUUAAACGAUAUAACGAUGGCGUAGUAUGAAAAAUAUAUUGAAAGUGAAAUUGUGUGAAACAGCAACGCUGAGACCCGAGAGAAAGAGAAAGAGUGGCACCAACAUCUCUUGGAAGAAAGUGAUAAAUGUAUUUUUAAAUAUUUCGGUACUCGUUGUUAAGGAGUAAACUCCAGUCGCGUUCUGGAGCUGACUCACACACUCGUUUUGGAGUUGACUCACACACUCGUUUUGGAGCUGACUCACACACUCGUUUUUUUUACUAUAUGAAUAAAUCACACCCACACUAGCAGUUAUACGUGCAUUUAUUUAGAAUUAGAUAAAUUUUCGCAUGCGUUUCAGGUUAUAAAAUCGUCAACAUCACUAAAAUAUAAUUUCAUAUAAUUAAAUGUUAGUGAUUAAAGUAUUCUACGAUUUGUGAAUACAGUGCUUCGUGUUUAAUAUAGUAAUUGGUUAUUAUUUUUAGUAUUUUGAAUAGAUAUUAUAGUUUAAAUUUGCAUUGUAUGUCUUAUACAGUCUAACAUUGAGUCUGAGAUAUUUUAACUCAAUGAUCUAUCUAGGAUUUUUUUACUUGAAGAGCAUCUCAUUGAUCCAAAAAUUGUUUGAAAAUUCUAUUCUAUUCUAUAGAUAGCUAUAGUAAGCAAAACGUGACUUUUUUUUUUUGUAAUUAAGCUAAUGAUAAGAAAAAAAACAAAAUGUUAUGGCAUGCCCUAUUUUGCACUUUAAAAUAACUUUUAAAUGAUAUUUUAUAUGGCUGUAACAGUCAGCUGUUGUACUGCUGCUGCUGUCUGUGUAUGUUAUAAGAUAUUUAUUUAUAUUUAAUAUGCAACAUUUGCAUUUAAAUCUAUCUGAUGUAUGACGGUGUCAAACGGAUAAAGGCUUUUGAUGUAAUGGUUUUCACCAUCUACUACAAGUUUAUGGGAUCAUGUCUAUCAUGUAUAUGUCAUGUGUGAUCUAUUCGUGACAUGUAAAUUUAAAAAUUUUAGUUUAUUAAUUGAGAUGACCGGGUUCUUAUGACCUUGACUUGACUACCUGCUGUUAAAGUGUAUUCGUAACUUGUAUGCCGGGUAUAAUUUAUUUACAACCCUUAAAACGCUUAAGUAUAAAGGAUUUUUGUCUGCAGUAAUUAUUGGUAACAAAUAAUGAAGUUGCAAAUAUUUCUAUAUUUUAGCUAUAAUAUUAGUAAUAGUAUGUAUUGCUAAUUUGUAUGUUGAAUAUUGUAACAAAUUAUUAACUAAGUUUCUCAAUACGAAUAAAGGGCUUGUACAUA
Melitaea cinxia (Glanville fritillary) is the source of this 2449-nucleotide long non-coding RNA. RefSeq lists it as uncharacterized. The transcript has 2 exons. The record is from RefSeq and is a predicted model, not a curated record. NCBI's taxonomy places the organism in Eukaryota, Metazoa, Arthropoda, Insecta, Lepidoptera, Nymphalidae.